GAUAAACGCUGGCGGCGUGCCUAACACAUGCAAGUCGAACGAUGAAGAUUAAAAGAUUUCUUCGGAAUGAACUUAAUUGGAUUAGUGGCGGACGGGUGAGUAACGCGUGAGUAACCUGCCUUGUACAAGGGGAUAGCCGUUGGAAACGACGAAUAAUACCCUAUGACAUCAAAUAAUCGCAUGAUAAUUUGCUCAAAGAUUUAUCGGUAUAAGAUGGACUCGCGUCUGAUUAGCUAGUUGGUAGAGUAAAAGCCUACCAAGGCAACGAUCAGUAGCCGGCUUGAGAGAGUGUACGGCCACAUUGGGACUGAGACACGGCCCAGACUCCGACGGGAGGCAGCAGUGGGGAAUUUUGCACAAUGGGGGAAACCCUGAUGCAGCGACGCCGCGUGAUUUAGAAGGCCUUCGGGUUGUAAAAAUCUUUUGUAUGGGAAGAAAAUGACAGUACCAUACGAAUAAGGACCGGCUAAUUACGUG
This 477-nucleotide ribosomal RNA is filed under the name uncultured bacterium. Its description in RNAcentral is "partial 16S ribosomal RNA". It matches the Rfam family "Bacterial small subunit ribosomal RNA", at positions 28 to 507 of the family's 1533-position model. The record is from RNAcentral.